GAGGAUGAUGAUUUCAUAUUUGUCGCCCCAGUCUUAGGGUCCGCUUUGGUGUACCUGUGCUGAUUGACUUUUGAAUCUGACUC
Triticum aestivum (bread wheat) is the source of this 83-nucleotide non-coding RNA. The record is from Rfam. NCBI's taxonomy places the organism in Eukaryota, Viridiplantae, Streptophyta, Magnoliopsida, Poales, Poaceae.